This 1047-nucleotide ribosomal RNA is filed under the name Mycobacterium sp. Its description in RNAcentral is "bacterial SSU rRNA". It matches the Rfam family "Bacterial small subunit ribosomal RNA", at positions 384 to 1441 of the family's 1533-position model. The record is from RNAcentral. Lineage: Bacteria; Bacillati; Actinomycetota; Actinomycetes; Mycobacteriales; Mycobacteriaceae.
UGAUGCAGCGACGCCGCGUGGGGGAUGACGGCCUUCGGGUUGUAAACCCCUUUCAGUAGGGACGAAGCGCAAGUGACGGUACCUACAGAAGAAGGACCGGCCAACUACGUGCCAGCAGCCGCGGUAAUACGUAGGGUCCGAGCGUUGUCCGGAAUUACUGGGCGUAAAGAGCUCGUAGGUGGUUUGUCGCGUUGUUCGUGAAAACUCACAGCUUAACUGUGGGCGUGCGGGCGAUACGGGCAGACUGGAGUACUGCAGGGGAGACUGGAAUUCCUGGUGUAGCGGUGGAAUGCGCAGAUAUCAGGAGGAACACCGGUGGCGAAGGCGGGUCUCUGGGCAGUAACUGACGCUGAGGAGCGAAAGCGUGGGGAGCGAACAGGAUUAGAUACCCUGGUAGUCCACGCCGUAAACGGUGGGUACUAGGUGUGGGUUUCCUUCCUUGGGAUCCGUGCCGUAGCUAACGCAUUAAGUACCCCGCCUGGGGAGUACGGCCGCAAGGCUAAAACUCAAAGAAAUUGACGGGGGCCCGCACAAGCGGCGGAGCAUGUGGAUUAAUUCGAUGCAACGCGAAGAACCUUACCUGGGUUUGACAUGCACAGGACGUGCCUAGAGAUAGGUAUUCCCUUGUGGCCUGUGUGCAGGUGGUGCAUGGCUGUCGUCAGCUCGUGUCGUGAGAUGUUGGGUUAAGUCCCGCAACGAGCGCAACCCCUAUCUUAUGUUGCCAGCGCGUUAUGGCGGGGACUCGUAAGAGACUGCCGGGGUCAACUCGGAGGAAGGUGGGGAUGACGUCAAGUCAUCAUGCCCCUUAUGUCCAGGGCUUCACACAUGCUACAAUGGCCGGUACAAAGGGCUGCGAAUCCGUGAGGUGGAGCGAAUCCCUUGAAAGCCGGUCUCAGUUCGGAUCGGGGUCUGCAACUCGACCCCGUGAAGUCGGAGUCGCUAGUAAUCGCAGAUCAGCAACGCUGCGGUGAAUACGUUCCCGGGCCUUGUACACACCGCCCGUCACGUCAUGAAAGUCGGUAACACCCGAAGCCGGUGGCCUAACCC